Small nuclear RNA from Trichosurus vulpecula (common brushtail), 107 nucleotides. The record is from RefSeq and is a predicted model, not a curated record. NCBI's taxonomy places the organism in Eukaryota, Metazoa, Chordata, Mammalia, Diprotodontia, Phalangeridae.
GUGCUCACUUCAGCAGCACAUGUACAUAAAUUGGAACAAUACAGAGAAGAGUAGCAUGGCUCCUGCGCAAAGAUGACAUGCAAAUUCGUGAAGCAUUCCAUAUUUUU